This 675-nucleotide ribosomal RNA is filed under the name uncultured bacterium. RNAcentral's name for it is "bacterial SSU rRNA". It matches the Rfam family "Bacterial small subunit ribosomal RNA", at positions 94 to 803 of the family's 1533-position model. The record is from RNAcentral.
AGUGGCAGACGGGUGAGUAACAUGUGGGUAUCUACCCUUUGGCCUGGAAUAACACGAGGAAACUUGUGCUAAUACCGGAUAAGUCUUUACGGAGAAAGCUUUAUGCACCAUUGGAGGAGCCCGCACUUGAUUAGUUUGUUGGUAGGGUAAUGGCCUACCAAGACUAUGAUCAAUAGCUGAUUUGAGAGGAUGAUCAGCCACAUUGGGACUGAGACACGGCCCUAACUCCUACGGGAGGCAGCAGUGGAGAAUCUUGCACAAUGGAGGAAACUCUGAUGCAGCGAUGCCGCGUGAGUGAAGAAGGCCUUUGGGUUGUAAAGCUCUUUCGUCGGGGAAGAAAAUGACUGUACCCGAAUAAGAAGGUCCGGCUAACUUCGUGCCAGCAGCCGCGGUAAUACGAAGGGACCUAGCGUAGUUCGGAAUUACUGGGCUUAAAGAGUUCGUAGGUGGUUGAAAUAGUUGGUGGUGAAAUCCCAGAGCUUAACUCUGGAACUGCCAUCAAAACUUUUCAGCUAGAGUAUGAUAGAGGAAAGCAGAAUUUCUAGUGUAGAGGUGAAAUUCGUAGAUAUUAGAAAGAAUACCAACUGCGAAGGCAGCUUUCUGGAUCAUUACUGACACUGAGGAACGAAAGCAUGGGUAGCGAAGAGGAUUAGAUACCCUCGUAGUCCAUGCCGA